GUUCAGUGUAAAUGACUUAAAAACAUAUGGACGACAUUUCUCAAGGAUUUCCCAGCGAGUCGGGCUGUCUGUCUGUAUGCAAGGGAGUUUUAUUAGCAAGGCAAAACUGGGGGUUGGGAGGAGGGGGGUUUUCACGAAAAGAUAAUACAUCCUAGCCUCUCUAAUUUAUUUUCAUGCUUCGGUGGGCUGGACUGUUAGCAUGGAGUGGUCAACAUGAAACAGAACCAAAUGUCUUCAUCAGGCUAAACUUGGAUCACAGCAGCAACUCACAGCCAAGGUCAUGGAACCCAGGAUACAGACGUCAGAACUGGAAGCAAUCAGGGGUUUCCCAUCCGUCUUCUCUCACAAUAAGGGAUGACAAAGCCAAGGAUCAGAGAGGGCAAGCGAUCCGUCAAGAUCACAGAACCAGUAUGUGGGGUAAAGCACAGACUUUAUCAAAAUAUUGGUGACCUUCCCCUUCAUGUGGACAGUGUAGACGAGCUGCCUGAAUGCAUUCCGUGGACCCCCGGGACUCAGACUGGAUGACCCUUCUACUCAGCUCAUUCAAUCCACUCCCUGAAUAAUCCACCAUCUUAUUCUGAAAGGUCUUCAAGGACAACCACCUCAGUAAACCUCCCCCUUGUCUAACAGUAUUUCACAGUCAGAAAGUUCUUAUACAUAAUCAGAAUGUCUAUUGCUUUGAGCGAACCACUUUUCCUUCUGUUCUAUUCUUGCUGGCGAUGGAGAACAGCUGGGAAGUUUUCAAUAUCUCUGUUAUGAACUUGAAAGCUGUUUUAAAAACACUCUUUGAGUCUCUCUUUCGCUGGCUAAAUAAACUUGAUUCGUUU
Molecule: long non-coding RNA, 827 nt
Filed under: Mustela putorius furo (domestic ferret)
Lineage: Eukaryota; Metazoa; Chordata; Mammalia; Carnivora; Mustelidae
Description: lncRNA (ENSMPUG00000031163.1)
Source: RNAcentral